Molecule: ribosomal RNA, 433 nt
Filed under: uncultured bacterium
Lineage: Bacteria
Description: partial 16S ribosomal RNA
Rfam family: Bacterial small subunit ribosomal RNA
Source: RNAcentral
AACGAACGCUGGCGGCAGGCCUAACACAUGCAAGUCGAGCGGACCUUUCGGGGUCAGCGGCGGACGGGUGAGUAACGCGUGGGAAUAUGCCCUUCUCUACGGAAUAGUCCUGGGAAACUGGGGGUAAUACCGUAUACGCCCUUUGGGGGAAAGAUUUAUCGGGGAAGGAUUAGCCCGCGUUGGAUUAGGUAGUUGGUGGGGUAAUGGCCUACCAAGCCGACGAUCCAUAGCUGGUUUGAGAGGAUGAUCAGCCACACUGGGACUGAGACACGGCCCAGACUCCUACGGGAGGCAGCAGUGGGGGAUCUUAGACACUGGGGGCAACCCUGAUCUAGCCAUGCCGCGUGAGUGAUGAAGGCCUUAGGGUUGUAAAGCUCUUUCAGCUGGGAAGAUAAUGACGGUACCAGCAGAAGAAGCCCCGGCUAACUCCGUG